AACGAACGCUGGCGGCAGGCCUAACACAUGCAAGUCGAGCGAGGACUUCGGUCCUAGCGGCGGACGGGUGAGUAACGCGUGGGAACGUGCCCUUUGGUACGGAAUAGCCCCGGGAAACUGGGAGUAAUACCGUAUGGUGUCUUCGGACUAAAGAUUUAUCGCCAAAGGAUCGGCCCGCGUUGGAUUAGGUAGUUGGUGGGGUAAUGGCCUACCAAGCCGACGAUCCAUAGCUGGUUUGAGAGGAUGAUCAGCCACACUGGGACUGAGACACGGCCCAGACUCCUACGGGAGGCAGCAGUGGGGAAUCUUAGACAAUGGGGGCAACCCUGAUCUAGCCAUGCCGCGUGAGUGAUGAAGGCCCUAGGGUUGUAAAGCGCUGUCAGGGGGGAUGAAAGCGCAAGCUUGACAGAGCCCCAGAGGAAGCACGGGCUAAGUUCGUGCCAGCAGCCGCGGU
This 454-nucleotide ribosomal RNA is filed under the name uncultured bacterium. Its description in RNAcentral is "bacterial SSU rRNA". It matches the Rfam family "Bacterial small subunit ribosomal RNA", at positions 29 to 521 of the family's 1533-position model. The record is from RNAcentral.